RNAcentral lists this ribosomal RNA (253 nucleotides) under uncultured bacterium. RNAcentral's name for it is "partial 16S ribosomal RNA". It matches the Rfam family "Bacterial small subunit ribosomal RNA", at positions 524 to 776 of the family's 1533-position model. The record is from RNAcentral.
UACGUAGGGUGCAAGCGUUGCCCGGAAUUAUUGGGCGUAAAGCGCGUGUAGGCGGCGUGACAAGUCGGGUGUGAAAGCCCUCAGCUCAACUGAGGAAGUGCGCCCGAAACUGUCGUGCUUGAGUGCCGGAGAGGGUGGCGGAAUUCCCCAAGUAGAGGUGAAAUUCGUAGAUAUGGGGAGGAACACCGGUGGCGAAGGCGGCCACCUGGACGGUUACUGACGCUGAGACGCGAAAGCGUGGGGAGCAAACAGG